RNAcentral lists this ribosomal RNA (118 nucleotides) under Ruminococcus sp. The record is from RNAcentral. RNAcentral also lists the same sequence under 2 other names. Lineage: Bacteria; Bacillati; Bacillota; Clostridia; Eubacteriales; Oscillospiraceae.
UCCGGUGUCGAUGCGCUUAGGGGAAACACCCGUUCCCAUCCCGAACACGACGGUUAAGACCUGAGCGGCCGAUGGUACUGCAUUGGAGACGAUGUGGGAGAGCAGGUGGGCGCCGGAU